UGGUUCCCAGAGAGUGCAUUUAAUAUUUUGCUUAUCUGCAUUUCUUUGCAGAUUUCUUUGCAGAUUUCUUUGAGGUGUUUAUGCCCAAAUACAAGGUCAAUUUCUGUGAAGGUACCAUGCAGAGCUGUGAGAAAAAAAAACAGGUACAUUUUUUGGUUGUCUUUCAGUAUUCUUCAGAAGCCAAACACUCACUUUUCUAAAAUGCCACACAUCUCCUCAAAUUCUUUUUUAGUUAUUUUAUGAUUACAUUUAUCUAAGGCUGUCAAUGAUGAAAUUGAGGGGCUCCACUGUUAAUGCUUUCCUGGUCAUUUAGCUUUUCCUUCAAGUAUUUGGAUGUUGUACCAUUUGAUGUAUAUGUGUUCAGUACUGGUAUUAAUUCAUUUUCUAUGGCAGCUUUAAGCAAAAUGUAGUGUCCCUGAACAUUUCUUUGAAUUGAGUCUAUUUGUACUCUUCCUUUGUCUGAGAUAAUGAUUGCUAACUCUGCCUGUUUUACUUCUCUUGAAACACACUAGAUUCUUAUUUUUACUACGUGUAUCUUUGUGUUUCAUGUCUUUGUCGUAAGCAAUAUAUUGCCAAUCGUAAGUUGGGUUCUGAUUUCUAAUUGAUUCAUCUAUCCUCUACCAUUUUAUGAGUGAGUUCAUUCAUUCACAUUCAUAAUUAGAACUGCUAAUAGUAUCUUUAACUCCCUACUAUUCUUUACUCUUUGUGCUUCUUUCUCUCUCUUUUUUUCACCCUGGAUAGAAAAUAAUAGCAAUAUGAAGUAAGAGUACAAAAGUCUGUUUUGCUUCUAACCACUGCAUCUCUUAAUCUUUAAUGCUUCUUAUUAAAUUCCUCUACCCCAUGGUCCCUUGACCACCUACAUCUUUGUUGGAAAAUACAGAUGAAUUUCUAAACCCAACUUUGUGUGCAGAUAUAUUCUUCCCUCACUAAACCAGUUCAGAUAUGAAUGAAGGUCAGUUAUUGUCACUUUCUGCCCCUUAUUUUUUCUUCCAUUUUACACACUCUUCUAUGAGUGUCUCACUUAUGUGAGAGAAAUGUCUAUGUUCUUAUUCUUCUGUCUCCCUUUUCCCCAGUCUUCCUUGUUUUUACACUUCCUUUCUUUUUUGGAGUUCAUCGUAACACAACCAUAUUAAUUUUGUAUGCUCAGGUUUCCUUUUCUUUGCUCAUGUUUCUAGCCUAUAUAUUCAUUUUGGAUUUUAUGUUUGAAUGUGACUUUGCAUUCCUAUGGACAGGAGGACUAGACGGAGUGUCUGUGUUUUAUGUACGUCUGCUUUCAUAAGAUAAUCUAGGCAUCUGUGAGUUGGUUUUUUUUUUUGGCUCAUGUUGUGAUAAUUAGAGUCUGGCUACUGUCCUCAUGAACUGGCUGUGGUCGCUACUGAGGUAGGACCCUCACUUCUCCAUGACCAUCAUCACUGCUUUCCACCUUGGACCUGUGACUCAGAACUGUGUAAUGGCUGAAGAAGUUUAAACAUGGCAAUUGAAUCAGUGCCCAGUGUUUGAAAAAGAAAAGGAAUCCUCUUAGUCCACUUUCCCAAAACUAGGCACCGAUUCCGCUGCCGCCACCACUACACACCUCACUGCUGCGUGCCUUCAAGCAACUUCUGGGGCCACACCUGCCAGGCCAAGAGCAACUGCCACUCCAGUGUCUUCACGCCUGUCUUCCAUCUUCAUCUUCUGUUCUGUGCUGGAAAAAGGACUCACUGUGAGUUUUGCUUAGUUUUCAGACUCAGAAAUCUGUUUAGUAUUUUUGGGGGCUCUCUUUGCGUAAGAGGGGAAAAAAGAAAUGUACUCCAAUGCAGUGGUUUUAAAAGGACAGCUUGUUUCACUUAUUAUUGUUCUAAUGAAUAAAUAGGCUGUGUUUGUGAAAAAACUAAGUACAGGUGAUUGACUAGGGAAACAAUUUCUGCUUUUCAGUAACUUAUAUGUCAUUUAAUAAACUAAAGCAGAUUAAGCAAAAAUGUAUUUUCAAUGAGUUACAGUUAACAUAAUUUUUUUUUAAUUGGGAUUCCAAAGUUUUUAAAAGCAAAAGAGAAAUCUGAAAAGAAGGAAAGUGCAUUUAAUAUUUUCAAGGAAUAAGGCUGGUGUAGAUAAAACUAUUAUUUAAAAAAAAUCAUCAUGAUUUAUUGACAAAAUUAGCUCACAAAAAUUCAAAAGAUAUAAUCUAUGGUUUUUAAAUAGGUACUGCUUAAACAUAGAUGUAAGUAAAUAUAUUUUUACUGGUGAAAUAAGUGAAAAAGAAAAAAAAAAAACAAAGUGUGAGUGUUUUUCUGUCCUUUGGUGACAGACAGCUGCAUUUAAAAAACAAUAAAAAAGUCUCUCUUUUGAAAAAUAGUAAAUCAGCACCAUGCUAGUGCUCUUUAGUAAAACCCAAGUCCUAAAACAGAAUCACUGAGAAAAAGAAAAAAAUAUGUGCCUUUGGCGAGAUGAUAAUUUAAAAUAUAUGUGCGUGUAUGUAUGUAAAUAUAUAAAUAUAUAUACACACAGACUUCUGCUGAAGUUUUCAUUCCUGUAAAUAUUUGACAAGAUCUUAUUUUGUGUUUCUUCAUUGUUCAGAAUCUCUUCUUACAAAGUACACAAUUUGUAAUUUUUAAAAAAUGGCCAAGAACAAUAUAUACUGUAAAACAGUUCAUGAAUACUAUUUAUUGAACUCAAUUUCCACCUUUUAUUGAUCUAAGCAUUUACCGUUAGAAAUGUUCCCUUAAGCAUUGUUUUGUCUCCAUCCCAUGUUUUGGUUCUCCUAUCUCAUUUUUGUCAUUUUCUUUAAUGAAAUUAUUAACACUUGCUAUCAUGGCUUCUUUGACCUGUUCUUUCUUUAGUAGGAGAUUAUUUGGUUUCCAAUUAAUUUUUAAUCUAUGCUUCAAAAGCCAUUUCUUGAAUGUAUUGUUCACUGCAUUAUGAUCCCCAAAGAGGGCAUUUAAUAUUUUACUCGUCUGCAUUUCUUUCUGAGAUGUUUAUGCCAAAUACAAGGUCAAUUUCUGUGAAGGUCACAUGCAGAGUUGUAGGAGAAAAAAAGAGAUACUAAUUUUUGCUGCUUUUCAGUAUUCUUCAGGAAUCAAGCUAAUCUCACAAUUCUGUAAUUCCACACAUCUCCUCAGAGUCUUUCUUGGGGAUUUUAUGAUUACAUUUAUCUAAGACUGUGAAGGACAAAAUUGAGGGACUUCACUCUUAAAGCUUUCCUAGCUUUUUCCCAUUGUAAGGCAUUUAACUUUUCCUUCAUGUAUUUGCAUGUUGUGCCAUUUGAUGCAUAUAUGUUUAGUAUUUAUAUUAAUUCAUUGCCUAUGGCAACUUUGAGCAAAAUGUAAUUUCACUGAACAUCUCUUUGAAUUGGGUCUAUUUGUACUUUUCCUUUUUCUGAGAUGAUGAUUGCUACCCAUGCCUGUUUUAAUUUUGAUGAACUAAAAUCUUCUUGUAAUUGUGUGUCUUUCUGUUUCAUGUCUCUGUUGUAGACAAUAUGUUUUGGGGUUCUGAUUUCUAAUCCAUUCUGUUAUCCUUUAUCUUCUUCUGUGCAAGUUUAUCCAUUCACAUAAAUAGUUAGAAUUGAUAAUAGUAUCUUUCCCUCUAUACCAUUCUUUACGAUUUAUGCUUUUCUCUCUCUUUCUUUCUCUCUCAUUUACCUUGGAUAAGAAAUAAUAGUAAUAUGAAUGAAGUAAUCAUACAAAAGUGUUUUACUUCUGACCAAUGCCUCUCUUAAACUUUACUAACUUCUAUUAGAGCCCCUCCCUCAGCCUCCUGGACCUUUAUCCUCCUGCAGCCAUUAGGGAAAUAAAGAUGUAUGUCUCUACCCAA
This is a long non-coding RNA of Antechinus flavipes (yellow-footed antechinus), 3786 nucleotides long. RefSeq lists it as uncharacterized. The transcript has 2 exons. NCBI's taxonomy places the organism in Eukaryota, Metazoa, Chordata, Mammalia, Dasyuromorphia, Dasyuridae. The record is from RefSeq and is a predicted model, not a curated record.